GACGAACGCUGGCGGCGUGCUUAACACAUGCAAGUCGAACGAUGAAGCCGGAGCUUGCUCUGGUGAAUUAGUGGCGAACGGGUGAGUAACACGUGAGUAACCUGCCCUUGACUCUGGGAUAACUGCGGGAAACUGUAGCUAAUACCGGAUACGACCCUCGGAGGCAUCUCCUGGGGGUGGAAAGAAUUUCGGUCAAGGAUGGACUCGCGGCCUAUCAGCUAGUUGGUGAGGGAAAGGCUCACAAAGGCGACGACGGGUAGCCGGCCUGGGAUGGUGGCCGGCCACAGUGGGACUGAGACACGGCCCAGCCUCCUACGGGAGGCAGCAGUGGGGAAUAUUGCACAAUGGGCGCAAGCCUGAGGCAGCAACGCCGCGUGAGGGAUGACGGCCUUCGGGUUGUAAACCUCUUUUAGCAGGGAAGAAGCGAAAGUGACGGUACCUGCAGAAAAAGCACCGGCUAACUACGUGCCAGCAGCCGCCGCCG
Molecule: ribosomal RNA, 484 nt
Filed under: uncultured bacterium
Lineage: Bacteria
Description: partial 16S ribosomal RNA
Rfam family: Bacterial small subunit ribosomal RNA
Source: RNAcentral